Molecule: long non-coding RNA, 236 nt
Organism: Pseudophryne corroboree (corroboree frog)
Lineage: Eukaryota; Metazoa; Chordata; Amphibia; Anura; Myobatrachidae
Exons: 3
Source: RefSeq, a predicted model, not a curated record
CAGCAACAGUUCAAAGACAAACAGGAAAUCUGACCUGCAGGCCAGGCAACAAGGAGAAGCCCGCAGAGGAGACGCUGAAGGGAACUUCGGGGGGCGCGGCCUGGCUCUAACAUCACCAACCCUCGUCCCCACUUGGGAAAAUGCCGAAGAACCAAUGGGUAAAGUUUCCAGCAUUCAGGAAAAGAGAAGAACUAAAGCAAUUAUGUUAGGAGGAUUCAUUUCUCAGCAAUUUCUCU